Molecule: long non-coding RNA, 297 nt
Filed under: Bos taurus (domestic cattle)
Lineage: Eukaryota; Metazoa; Chordata; Mammalia; Artiodactyla; Bovidae
Description: long non-coding RNA NONBTAT010606
Source: RNAcentral
AGCCAGUAAGGCUGUGAUCUUCCUGUGAAUUCCUUAUACUUUUCAUGAGGUUUUUUUGGUAGGUGGAGGUAUGUGUGUUAGGGUCAUCUGUUAUCUACUGAAGGCUCUGAGCAAUAGUUUACUAAUUCGCAACUAACCUCUUCAGAUACCACAUGCGCUCAGCGCUUUGCCUGAUUUACUUUUUCUACAAUUAAGGGAAAAAUAUGAAACAGGUCAUUAAGGCACUGAUUGCCAGCCUGGGCUUUGUGACUUCCCUAGGUAUUUCCAGGGGUUCUCAAAAGGGAUUAUAAAAUUAUC